CAGUCGCCGCGGUAAUACAGAGGGUGCGAGCGUUAAUCGGAUUUACUGGGCGUAAAGCGUGCGUAGGCGGCUUCUUAAGUCGGAUGUGAAAUCCCUGAGCUUAACUUAGGAAUUGCAUUCGAUACUGGGAAGCUAGAGUAUGGGAGAGGAUGGUAGAAUUCCAGGUGUAGCGGUGAAAUGCGUAGAGAUCUGGAGGAAUACCGAUGGCGAAGGCAGCCAUCUGGCCUAAUACUGACGCUGAGGUACGAAAGCAUGGGGAGCAAACAGGAUUAGAGACCCCUGUAGUCCCUGUCUCUUAUAA
This 301-nucleotide ribosomal RNA is filed under the name uncultured bacterium. Its description in RNAcentral is "partial 16S ribosomal RNA". It matches the Rfam family "Bacterial small subunit ribosomal RNA", at positions 509 to 809 of the family's 1533-position model. The record is from RNAcentral.